AUUGAACGCUGGCGGCACGCCUAACACAUGCAAGUCGAGCGGCAGCGUGGUUAGUAGCAAUACUAACUGACGGCGAGCGGCGGACGGGUGAGUAGACCGUAGGAACCUGCCUUAUAGAGAGGGAUACCCAAGGGAAACUUUGGUUAAUACCGCAUGCACUCGAGAGAGGAAAGCAGCAGCAAUGAUGCGCUAUAAGAGGGGCCUGCGACUGAUUAGCUAGUUGGAGAGGUAAGAGCUCCCAAGGCGAUGAUCAGUAACUGGUCUGAGAGGACGACCAGUCACACUGGGACUGAGACACGGCCCAGACUCCUACGGGAGGCAG
RNAcentral lists this ribosomal RNA (322 nucleotides) under uncultured Pseudomonadota bacterium. RNAcentral's name for it is "bacterial SSU rRNA". It matches the Rfam family "Bacterial small subunit ribosomal RNA", at positions 30 to 351 of the family's 1533-position model. Lineage: Bacteria; Pseudomonadati; Pseudomonadota. The record is from RNAcentral.